Molecule: ribosomal RNA, 234 nt
Filed under: uncultured bacterium
Lineage: Bacteria
Description: partial 16S ribosomal RNA
Rfam family: Bacterial small subunit ribosomal RNA
Source: RNAcentral
UGAGGAACAUGACCUUCGGCGGGGGAUAGCCGGCCCAACGGCCGGGUAAUACCGCGUACGACCACUUUGGGACAUCCCUAGGUGGUGAAAGCAGCAAUGCGCCGAUGGAGUGCCUCGCGGCCUAUCAGCUAGUUGGUGAGGUAACGGCUCACCAAGGCGACGACGGGUAGCCGGCCUGAGAGGGUGACCGGCCACACUGGGACUGAGACACGGCCCAGACUCCUACGGGAGCAG